Molecule: ribosomal RNA, 253 nt
Filed under: uncultured bacterium
Lineage: Bacteria
Description: partial 16S ribosomal RNA
Rfam family: Bacterial small subunit ribosomal RNA
Source: RNAcentral
UACGUAGGGGGCAAGCGUUGUCCGGAUUUAUUGGGCGUAAAGCGCGCGCAGGCGGUCCUUUAAGUCUGAUGUGAAAUCUUGCGGCUCAACCGCAAGCGGUCAUUGGAAACUGGGGGACUUGAGUACAGAAGAGGAAAGCGGAAUUCCACGUGUAGCGGUGAAAUGCGUAGAGAUGUGGAGGAACACCAGUGGCGAAGGCGGCUUUCUGGUCUGUAACUGACGCUGAGGCGCGAAAGCGUGGGGAGCAAACAGG